AUUUUGGGAGGGAUAGAAGCUGGGGAAGAGGCAGAGCAUGAGAUGGAUCAAUCAACAAUGUAGAUUAUUGAUGUUGUUGCUCCUCCCAUGCACUGUCUCUUCCCUGGCAUCUCCUUCAUAGUUUCUC
RNAcentral lists this microRNA precursor (127 nucleotides) under Spinacia oleracea (spinach). RNAcentral's name for it is "MIR408 microRNA precursor family". It matches the Rfam family "MIR408 microRNA precursor family". The record is from Rfam by way of RNAcentral. Lineage: Eukaryota; Viridiplantae; Streptophyta; Magnoliopsida; Caryophyllales; Amaranthaceae.